Thalassophryne amazonica is the source of this 295-nucleotide long non-coding RNA. RefSeq lists it as uncharacterized. The record is from RefSeq and is a predicted model, not a curated record. The transcript is spliced from 4 exons. NCBI's taxonomy places the organism in Eukaryota, Metazoa, Chordata, Actinopteri, Batrachoidiformes, Batrachoididae.
AGUCUUUACACACUUGAUGGACAACCUGUUAAAUCUGUGACGGAGUUGAAGUUUGACGGCUGUUACGUUGCUGUUAGUAAGGGGAAGUUUAAACCUGUUCAGUACUUCAGCAAGAAAUGUGACGGGAACAAAUGUAAAGAGAAACAAUUUGUUCAAGCAGUACGUCAUAAAGAAGACAUUAAACCUGUUGUUCAGACCAAAACCGAGGUGACUGGUAAAAAUGAGAGAAAUCCAAAAAUAGAGUAUUUCACCAUCGAUGUUUUCACCAAUGGAGAGCCUCUAAUUCCUUCAGUGA